Non-coding RNA from Macaca mulatta (Rhesus monkey), 479 nucleotides. NCBI's taxonomy places the organism in Eukaryota, Metazoa, Chordata, Mammalia, Primates, Cercopithecidae. The record is from RefSeq and is a predicted model, not a curated record.
UUUAGCCAUUUAGUUCUCAUGGCUCUGUUCCAGGACUCUUUAAUUUGCCAGUAGCUGUUUUUCCUACACAGAUUACAGGAGUAAUUCAUCAGUGAAUGUUUCACUCAGUGGUCCCAUCUAAUGUGUCUUCAGAUGUCCAACUCUUGCCACAAGAAUGACAACUUUUCCACUUCUAUUCAAACAUCUACGAAACUCCUACAAAAUUGAUGUGGAAGGAAACUGGAGCACCCAGAGAAAACCCAUAAAGACAUGGGAAGAAAGUGCAAACUCCACACAGAUGGUGGCCUCGGCCCAGAAUCAUUUUUUUUUUCUUAUCAACGUUAUAAAGAAACAACAUUGAACAAAAAGAUGUUAUUUGAGGACCUGCUGCACUCUUCAACCCUGAUCAUUAAUGGGAACUAGAAAAAGCAGAGUGAAAAUGCACCUGACAAUAUAAAAAGUAAAUGACCUACAUGGAUUGCAGGAGGCCAACACAAUAA